This 423-nucleotide ribosomal RNA is filed under the name uncultured bacterium. RNAcentral's name for it is "partial 16S ribosomal RNA". It matches the Rfam family "Bacterial small subunit ribosomal RNA", at positions 361 to 776 of the family's 1533-position model. The record is from RNAcentral.
AUUUGGGUCAAUGGGGGAAACCCUGAUCCAGCCAUCCCGCGUGUAUGAUGAAGGCCUUUGGGUUGUAAAGUACUUUUGGCAGAGAAGAAAAGGUAUCCCCUAAUACGGGAUACUGCUGACGGUAUCUGUAGAAUAAGCACCGGCUACCCACGUGUCCGCCACCGCGGUCAUACGUAGGGUGUGAGCGUUUACCGGAAUUCCUGGGCGUCAAGCGUGUGUAGGCGGUUCGGAAAGAAAGAUGUGAAAUCCCAGAGCUCAACCUUGGAACUGCAUUUUUAACUGCCGAGCUAGAGUAUGUCAGAGGGGGGUAGAAUUCCACGUGUAGCAGUGAAAUGCGUAGAUAUGUGGAGGAAUACCGAUGGCGAAGGCAGCCCCCUGAGAUAAAACUGACGCUCAGACACGAAAGCGUGAGGAGCAAACAGG